RNA transcript from Mobula hypostoma (lesser devil ray), 2490 nucleotides. It is a transcript of the gene named ER membrane protein complex subunit 2, with no coding region annotated. The record is from RefSeq and is a predicted model, not a curated record. NCBI's taxonomy places the organism in Eukaryota, Metazoa, Chordata, Chondrichthyes, Myliobatiformes, Myliobatidae. The transcript is spliced from 12 exons.
CUGUGCGUGGGGGCGUCGGGUCACGUGAUGUAGCGUACAACAUGGCGUCGGUCGCGGACAUGUUCGAUGUGACCUGGGAGGAAAUGCGUGACAAGUUGAGAAAAUGGCGAGAUGAGAACUACCGGAAUAGUGAACAGAUCGCUGAUGUCGGUGAAGAGUUGAUCAAUGAUUAUGCUUCAAAACUUGGAGAUGAUAUUUGGAUCAUUUAUGAACAAGUGAUGAUUGCUGCCCUUGACUGCAGUCGUGACAAUUUGGCAACACAAUGUCUGCAUGAACUCCGCAAACAAUUUCCAGGCAGCCACCGGGUGAAGCGAUUGACUGGCAUGCGAUAUGAAUCACUUGAAAGGUAUGAUGAUGCCAACAAGAUGUAUGAUGGAAUAUUGCAGGAUGAUCCAACAAACACCGCAGCACGGAAGCGUAAGAUUGCCAUUCUCAAAGCCCAAGGGAAAACCACUGAAGCCAUCAGGGAGCUGAAUGAGUAUCUGGAACAGUUUGUUGGAGAUCAAGAGGCAUGGCACGAACUAGCAGAGCUUUAUAUCAAUGAGCACGAUUAUGGGAAAGCUGCAUUUUGCUUAGAAGAACUUAUGAUGACUAACCCUCACAAUCACCUUUAUUGUCAGCAUUACGCGGAGGUGAAAUACACUCAAGGUGGAUUUGAAAACCUGGAAAUCUCUCGCAAAUACUUUUCCCAAGCACUGAAACUAAACAACAGAAACAUGCGGGCCUUAUUUGGGCUGUACAUGUCUGCAAGUCACAUUGCAUCUAAUCCUAAAGCAAAUGCUAAAAUCAAAAAGGACAACUUGAGGUAUGCUGCUUGGGCAGCAAUGCAGAUCAACAAGGCUUACCAGCAUUGAGAAAGAUGGUUUCAAAAGCGACCAUUGCAUAUGUGCUCCACCUGGUCAUUCCAGAAUGCCGCAGCUUGCAGGUCGAGGCAAAAAGGAGAGCAAGAAUUCACUGAAGGUUGUGGAGGACAUGUUGGAGGCUUUACAAAUCACACAGUCGUGAAAUCAUUGCUCUUGGUUGGAUCUUAAUCGAUUUACUUCAGCGUGCUCAGAUUUCAGCACGCUUUGUCUGUUUCCACGCCAACCCACCCACCAACUCCUCUCCUCUCCUCUCCUCUCACCACCACCCCACCUCUCACUUCAGUAACUCAGCCAAAGAACCUGUUCUGUGAAUUUUACUAUAAUUUUGGCUGUCAGUAGAUUAUUACUUCACACCAGUGACCAGUAACAUCCAGGUGUGCAGUUAACUACUGAAAUCUAGCCAUGGCCCGUAAACCUCAAAGAGUUCAAAUAGUUGUUCAAGACUCUGCUGAAAACCACAUUCACAGAAUAAAUAUAGCCUUUCACCAAUUGAAAGUGAACUCCCAGUAGUUCCUUACUGAGAAUCCCUCAUUGCUGUUGCCGUCUCGACAUCUGUGAAUGCAACUAUGAGAACUUUGCAAGCAGUGUGUUCCAUCUAUUGGCCCAGGAUUUACUCAGCCAGACAGCAGCAGCUUCUGCUUAUAAAAACCCCUGUUGCUGCUGAGACACUGGGAUAUCCCUAGGCAAUGUACUCUCUGACCCAACCAUCAUGUGCCAGGGGUGAUAUUCUGUUGAGCUUUCGUGGGUGAAUGAGCAGAGUUCCCAAGCUCACUAGGUCCUGAGAACGUGGAGUAACCGAGGGCACUAUCUAGCCUGAUAGACUCUAGCCUAUUUGUUAUCUAGCCUGAGGAAGAGGGGUGCAUGUUCUACUUCUAGAUCCGACAAGACCAUAAUGCCACAUAGAUCCCAGUUCACAUUCUGCUUAAUCCUCAAAAAUACAAUGCUGUUCCAGCUUCCACACAGACACAAACUGGAAUUUAUUAUACUCUGGCACAGGUACUGGUCAGGUAGCUUGUUCUUUCCUUGAGUUGCUUUGUUUUAUAAUAAGCCUUUUGCUAAUUGCCAUAUUUGCCUUUGUGACUUCAGUGGGGAGUGAACGUAGGUUUGACCAAUGGCAAUAAUAGCUUUGUAAUAGAGUGGACUGCAUACUCGUCAUAUACAAGGUUGUCACUACAUGAUGCAGUUCAUUGGAAUUGUGAUCUCACGACAUGCACUUCAGAAUUUUUGCAUUUUUUUUAGUAUUAGACCUACAGAAGUUCAUCCGGCAGCUGCAAUCCGAAUUGCUUGUGAUUUUUCACAGCCCAUCUAAGUUAUUCAUUCAGCAUUUUGCAUGCUUCCUAAAGCAUUGAAAUAAGUGAAACAACGUGGGAAGAAUUUCUCUGCCUGGUGAGGUUCCAGAGUCUUUUGGCACAGACUUAGUUAUAAUAACAUUAAAUAAAAUAGUUGAAUUACCUGUUUGUACUUAACUUGGUUUCAGUCUGAGUGUGAAGAGCAUUAUCCUGCCAUGCUCUUACAGAGUGUUUAGAGUGUGGAGCAGUACAGUUGCUACACUUUGAGUGCCCCUGCAACUGUGUGACAGCACCAUCUAGUGCCCAAUGAACUGCCUGCCUUUACACUUCUUGUUGAA